GACGAACGCUGGCGGCGUGCUUAACACAUGCAAGUCGAGCGGUAAGGCCCUUUCGGGGGUACGACGAGCGGCGAACGGGUGAGUAACACGUGGGUGACCUGCCCUCCAGUUCUGGGAGUAAGCCUGGGAAACCGGGUCUAAUACUGGAUAUGACCUCAUGACGCAUGUUGUGGGGUGGAAAGCCUUGUGCGACUGAGGAUGGGCCCGCGGCUAUCAGCUUGUUGGUGGGGUGAUGGCCUACCAAGGCGACGACGGGUAGCCGGCCUGAGAGGGCGACCGGCCACACUGGGACUGAGACACGGCCCAGACUCCUACGGGAGGCAGCAGUGGGGAAUCUUGCGCAAUGGGCGAAAGCCUGACGCAGCGACGCCGCGUGAGGGAU
This 382-nucleotide ribosomal RNA is filed under the name uncultured bacterium. Its description in RNAcentral is "bacterial SSU rRNA". It matches the Rfam family "Bacterial small subunit ribosomal RNA", at positions 28 to 409 of the family's 1533-position model. The record is from RNAcentral.